CGAGGGGCCAGGCACUUUGCUGUUACUGAAGAUCUGGUCCUAAACAACACAGACAAAUUCUUCUCAUAGAACUUGAAUGUUGAUGACUGGAAGAAGAGCCCCAGUGGUGUGGGUUCUUCUGUGACUGGCCUCUACCUCCCCACCCCAUCCGUGGGUAGGCUUUGCAGCAAGAACAGAAACAAUAGAUGCCUGAAGGAGUGGGAAGUUGGAAUCAGUGAUCAAACUGCUGCUCCACAGAGGGAGCCUCUCCUGAAACUGCACCAUGGACUUGGGCUAAAAAUGAGCCUAAAGGCCCUGACAUCAAUGCACGGAAUUGGGAGCAAGGAACUGUCUUUAUUCCAGAACUGAGCUGAUACCUCCUGAAGGUGAAUCAACAGCUAUCUAAGGAGGAAGAGAUCAUUUCUGCUGUCCCACAUUCGACCUCCAUCCUGGACUGAAAUUGGUAUUGAACAUCUACUGCAUAUGGUGAAGCUGAGAUUCACAAAGGGCAGAUGGCUGACCUGAAAACCCUCAGCUGGUUAGUGAUGGAAUCGACAUCCAAAGCAGACUGGCCUGAUCCCUGAGUGCUGUGGGGCCAUCUGCAAAGAGUGCUGUGCAGCCUGCUGUGAGCCCAUCAUGGAAUAACUACCAUCUAGAUGUGGGGAAGAGCUGUUAGAAUUGGGGAAGGGGGUAGGGCUCUUUCAUGAAAACCACACUGACUGGACUCUUGGGCCAAGGUCUUUUUCUCCUUGAUCAAGUGUCUGGCAUCUGUCCAGUAGCAAUGACCUCCAUGCCAUGGUAUUUAAUAUGUGAAGAAGGAGCUCUACCAGCUGGGAGAGAGAGUUGAAAUACGUAAAUUCAGUUGGACGCCAACACUGGAGGACCUGUUUUAUACACUUAAGGAGCUUCUUACUUCGUUUCUGCUUUUUCUGGAAACUGUCUCUCCACUCUGCGGACUCUCAUGACAACCAUAUUAUAUGAUGUCAUUUGGGCCCACACUGGGUCAGACAUGGUUCCCCUGGGAAUCUGGAACUGGGACUUAGAUAUUCCAGCCUCAGAGGGAACUGUGGGUGGCCUAGAAUGCUAAGCUGCAGUGACAAAGUGUAAUGAGGAUGCAUUUGAAAGCAUGGAGGGGAAAAACCAGGGAAGCAGUCAUAAAGACAUUCUAGUUUUGGUCUAUUUCUGAGGCUCCUCUGUGUCUUUGAGUAGUUUAGUGAGAUCAUCUAUUAAAAAUUAAAUAUAAUAUGGCAAAUUUUCAUUUUUGUUUAAAUUAAUUAUGUGGAAUUCUGUCAUUGGCAAAUAAAGGGGUCUUAAUUCUGGAGCGUCUAAAGUCCAAACCCAGGUUAGGCAACAGCUGCAAAACUCUAGAAGAGGGGAUGUGAUAGUGAACAUGGCCAUGGUAAACAAGAAGCCAAAGGAAAUGACAGCAUCCAGGGUCUCCAUCAAGUCCUGAAAACUGAGGAUUGAGGGCACUGGUGUUUACAGUCCAGUAAUAGAAUUGCCCAUGGGUGAGGAGAAGAAAUCUCCUGCUCUGCUUCCCCCGCUCCCAACCUGGAGUAGAAUGGAAAAGGGGGUGAGGAUGGGCAGGAGGCCCAGAGGAGCAGAGGAGCAGUAGCUGAUGCUUCUGGAGAGCCAGACCGAAGUUGGAACCAUGGGGACAUGGUGGCCACUGGGAGGGGGCAAGGUGCCUAUGGCAGCCAUGCCCAGUGGGGUGUUUGGAGGAAGGGAUUUGGAGGGAUUUGGGAUUUCUGUGAAAUGCGGAAGGGCCUGUGGUGUCUGCUAUGUUGUUACCACUGUUGUGAUGCCACCUGAAGCAGCAAAGUUUACACAAACUGAGGAUAGUAGAGAAUGAAUCCGGCUCAGAUGGAGGAUAACCAACAAAGUCACCUUACUUGACUCAAAUUUGGCAGAGAUGGUUUUCAAAUGUAAAGCAUUAUCAUUCUACUUGCAGCUUCUCUCUAUCUGAGUCAGACAUGAGACCAGGGGGGAAUAACUGCCCACACUGGACAUUUCUAAACGUUCCUCCAGCCUCUUUCCAGGUGGACUCACCUCUGAAAACUCUGAUUCCACCCCUGUGGCUGCAUGAUUCCCUUUUGCAGCAGAAAUUCUAACUCCACAAUUGAAAUAAAGAAAAAUCCAGGAGCUGAAUCAGGUGGAAUUGUUGCAAGAUCUCACGUUGUUUUACUACACUACCUUUCUUCCAUUAAAAAAAAAAAAAGAAAAGAAAAGAAAAAAAGAUAUGUAUUAUCUUUGAAGGAGAAGC
This is a long non-coding RNA of Canis lupus familiaris (dog), 2242 nucleotides long. RefSeq lists it as uncharacterized. NCBI's taxonomy places the organism in Eukaryota, Metazoa, Chordata, Mammalia, Carnivora, Canidae. The transcript has 5 exons. The record is from RefSeq and is a predicted model, not a curated record.